UAGUGGCAAAAUAAGAGCUGGCUGCUCUGAAAUGUUAAGCUAAUGGGAGAUGAUGUGAUAAAUGACCUUUUUUUUUUUUUUUUUCCUCCACAAAAAAAAAGAAAAUAUGGGUGCAGGGGGUCACAGCUAAGUGUCUGGAAGAUGCUCUCCAUCAGCCAGAGGUCUCCUGACCCACACUUAAAACAGGAAUGGUCUGUUCGGAUUAAGCUAUUGACAACUAUUGUGCUAAAAGAAUAGCAAGAAAUAUUCUUUCUGUCCUCUUGUCCUAGCCUGAAGGUAGAGCCUUUUUAAGUAGCUAUCCUCUCUGCUUUGUGGAUGGCCUCAGCAUAUAUGCAUGCACAGGAAGCCUGACUGCCCUGGCAAGUGCAAAUUUAGGGGGGCCUGAAAUACAGUGUUGCAGCCAAUAACAUUUUCAUGUUAUUUUCCAUGUAUUGCAGGAGUCUUGAGUCUGAGCCAUUCCUAUGGACAGUCCUGUUCUUUUCCACCUGCUCUGAACUGAACAACUUAAGGCUAAGGAGCAUUUGCAGCAGCAUGAGCUUUGUGAAGCAGCAGGGCUGUUUCUCCUUGUCUGCUCACCAUGGAUGGAGCUUUUUUUUUUUUUUUUUUCUCUUGAGCAGACCUGCCAGGAUGGUUCAAUAUGUGUGACAUCCUAUCUGGACCCUGAAGCAGCCCCUUAUUUUGUUUCACCUUGCAAGUGGGGACUGUGGAUAUCAUCCAGUCAUGAAUCACAGCUUUGUGAAAUGAAAUGAAGAGAAUAAGCUGGAGCAACUGGAGCGUGUGUGGGUUGUUAUCUGCACAAGCAAUAGAAGCUGGGCUAGACAUCUCCUAUUCAUGAGCUAUCAUCCAGCAUGAGCUCAGUUUGUAGAGCAACCCACAGGGCGUUGCUUUUGGCCUGAGGGAGCUGUGAGCCACAGCUUCUUCCAGCCCUCAUUACAGAUAUGCCUGUGCUGCAAAAGGUAGAGCAGUGAUGCACGUUACCCUUCUGUAAUAAGUGGCUGUAGAUCCUGCCUUGUCUGUCCAUUUUCUAUUGCACGUUUUCCAUGGAAAAAGCAGAGCCACGGCCCAGGGCAUGCUCAAAAAUUUCUCUGGAAGAGAAGCUGUCCUGGAUUCUGCCAUAACAAUGGCUAUUUUCAGACUGAUUUUCUUCCCCUGGUGAGAAGGGAGAAAAAGUGACGUUUUAAUGAUUCACUUUAUUGAUGGGUCUGAAUGUUUAUUGUUGUUUUAACUAUCAAAACAUACAGAGGCUGGAAUCUAUCCAGAG
This 1261-nucleotide long non-coding RNA is filed under the name Phasianus colchicus (ring-necked pheasant). RNAcentral's name for it is "lncRNA (ENSPCLG00000000460.1)". The record is from RNAcentral. Lineage: Eukaryota; Metazoa; Chordata; Aves; Galliformes; Phasianidae.